This 478-nucleotide ribosomal RNA is filed under the name uncultured bacterium. RNAcentral's name for it is "SSU rRNA". It matches the Rfam family "Bacterial small subunit ribosomal RNA", at positions 26 to 521 of the family's 1533-position model. The record is from RNAcentral.
AGGACGAACGCUGGCGGCGUGCUUAACACAUGCAAGUCGAACGGUGAAGCCCUUCGGGGUGGAUCAGUGGCGAACGGGUGAGUAACACGUGGGUAAUCUGCCCUGCAUUCUGGGACAAGCCUUGGAAACGAGGUCUAAUACCGGAUACGACGCAUCUCCGCAUGGGGUGUGCGUGGAAAGCUCCGGCGAUGCAGGAUGAACCCGCGGCCUAUCAGCUUGUUGGUGGGGUGAUGGCCUACCAAGGCGACGACGGGUAGCCGGCCUGAGAGGGCGACCGGCCACACUGGGACUGAGACACGGCCCAGACUCCUACGGGAGGCAGCAGUGGGGAAUAUUGCACAAUGGGCGAAAGCCUGAUGCAGCGACGCCGCGUGAGGGAUGACGGCCUUCGGGUUGUAACCUCUUUCAGCAGGGAAGAAGCGCAAGUGACGGUACCUGCAGAAGAAGCACCGGCUAACUACGCGCCAGCAGCCGCGGU